Long non-coding RNA from Bos taurus (domestic cattle), 984 nucleotides. NCBI's taxonomy places the organism in Eukaryota, Metazoa, Chordata, Mammalia, Artiodactyla, Bovidae. The record is from Ensembl.
CUGGGGGGCAGUCACCUCCGCCCUGAACCCACAGGCUGGCCCUCUCCUGAGCGUUCGCCCUGCACGAGGGCCCUGUGCUCUGGUCUAGACCCGGAAGGCACCCCCCACACAUCCUGCUUCUGCAUCCUCGGGAGCCUCCCCUGUGGGGAGGGGACACGCCCCUCAGAGUCAUUCAGAAUGGGGCUCAGAGCCGUGGUCUCCGGCCAGCAGGCGUGCCGACCCUCUCGUUGCCUCAGAGAGACCGCUAGCCUCGGGCUCCUUCCCACCUUGACUGCAGAUUUUCCUAGAAGGAACUAGUCUCGCCAAAAGGCCAUUUCUUGGUCUGCACCUUCAAACUGUCCAGAACGCCGGGCCAGGCGAAGCCCCUUGUCCUAUGCCAACCUGGACGACCGGUGAUCCUCCCGAGUAAAUCUGUGCGUGCUCCCCGUGCAACCGGAGAUGUUAUCCUCUGUAAGAACUUAAGGCUCAACCUGUUAAGUCUCAUCAAUUGCCCUGAAUUUGUAGCCUUUUAAGCUGAGCACCAAAGAAUUGAUGCUUUUGAACUGUGGUGUUGGAGAAGACUCUUGAGAGUCCCUUGGACUGCAAGGAGAUCCAACCAGUCCAUCCUAAAGGAGAUCAGUCCUGGGUGUUCAUUGGAAGGACUGAUGCUGAAGCUGAAACUCCAAUACUUUGGCCACCUGAUGUGAAGAGCUGACUGACUGGAAAAGACCCUGAUGCUGGGAAAGACUGAAGGUGGGAGGAGAAGCGGACGACAGAGGAUGAGAUGGUUGGAUGGCAUCACCGACUCCAUGGACAUGGGUUUGGGUGGACUCCGGGAGUUGGUGAUGGACAGGGAGGGCCUGGCGUGCUGCGGUUCAUGGGGUCACAAAGAGUUGGACACGACUGGGUGACUGAACUGAACUGAAGCCUUUUACAUUUUUUUAAAUUUAUUUUUAGAUUUUUGGGGACUCUGGUAAGCAGUAGCUUUGAAGGUGUAUUUUCAUU